CCUACGGGUGGCUGCAGUGGGGAAUAUUGGACAAUGGGCGAAAGCCUGAUCCAGCCAUGCCGCGUGUGUGAAGAAGGCCUUCGGGUUGUAAAGCACUUUCAGUGGGGAAGAAAGCCUUGGGGCUAAUACCCUCGAGGAAGGACAUCACCCACAGAAGAAGCACCGGCUAACUCAGUGCCAGCAGCCGCGGUAAUACGGAGGGUGCGAGCGUUAAUCGGAAUUACUGGGCGUAAAGCGCGCGUAGGCGGUCUGAUAAGCCGGUUGUGAAAGCCCCGGGCUCAACCUGGGAACGGCAUCCGGAACUGUCAGGCUAGAGUGCAGGAGAGGAAGGUAGAAUUCCCGGUGUAGCGGUGAAAUGCGUAGAGAUCGGGAGGAAUACCAGUGGCGAAGGCGGCCUUCUGGACUGACACUGACGCUGAGGUGCGAAAGCGUGGGUAGCAAACAGGAUUAGAUACCCCAGUAGUC
RNAcentral lists this ribosomal RNA (465 nucleotides) under Vreelandella stevensii. RNAcentral's name for it is "partial 16S ribosomal RNA". It matches the Rfam family "Bacterial small subunit ribosomal RNA", at positions 338 to 795 of the family's 1533-position model. Lineage: Bacteria; Pseudomonadati; Pseudomonadota; Gammaproteobacteria; Oceanospirillales; Halomonadaceae. The record is from RNAcentral.